ACGAGCGGCGGACGGGUGAGUAAUGUCUGGGAAACUGCCUGAUGGAGGGGGAUAACUACUGGAAACGGUAGCUAAUACCGCAUAACGUCGCAAGACCAAAGUGGGGGACCUUCGGGCCUCAUGCCAUCAGAUGUGCCCAGAUGGGAUUAGCUAGUAGGUGAGGUAAUGGCUCACCUAGGCGACGAUCCCUAGCUGGUCUGAGAGGAUGACCAGCCACACUGGAACUGAGACACGGUCCAGACUCCUACGGGAGGCAGCAGUGGGGAAUAUUGCACAAUGGGCGCAAGCCUGAUGCAGCCAUGCCGCGUGUAUGAAGAAGGCCUUCGGGUUGUAAAGUACUUUCAGCGAGGAGGAAGGCGAUAAGGUUAAUAACCUUGUCGAUUGACGUUACUCGCAGAAGAAGCACCGGCUAACUCCGUGCCAGCAGCCGCGGUAAUACGGAGGGUGCAAGCGUUAAUCGGAAUUACUGGGCGUAAAGCGCACGCAGGCGGUCUGUCAAGUCGGAUGUGAAAUCCCCGGGCUCAACCUGGGAACUGCAUCCGAAACUGGCAGGCUAGAGUCUUGUAGAGGGGGGUAGAAUUCCAGGUGUAGCGGUGAAAUGCGUAGAGAUCUGGAGGAA
RNAcentral lists this ribosomal RNA (619 nucleotides) under Klebsiella sp. EECC-690. RNAcentral describes it as "bacterial SSU rRNA". It matches the Rfam family "Bacterial small subunit ribosomal RNA", at positions 91 to 706 of the family's 1533-position model. The record is from RNAcentral. Lineage: Bacteria; Pseudomonadati; Pseudomonadota; Gammaproteobacteria; Enterobacterales; Enterobacteriaceae.